This 1644-nucleotide ribosomal RNA is filed under the name Campylobacter coli. Its description in RNAcentral is "partial 23S ribosomal RNA". It matches the Rfam family "Bacterial large subunit ribosomal RNA", at positions 5 to 1528 of the family's 2925-position model. Lineage: Bacteria; Pseudomonadati; Campylobacterota; Epsilonproteobacteria; Campylobacterales; Campylobacteraceae. The record is from RNAcentral.
AAGCUACUAAGAGCGAAUGGUGGAUGCCUUGACUGGUAAAGGCGAUGAAGGACGUACUAGACUGCGAUAAGCUACGGGGAGCUGUCAAGAAGCUUUGAUCCGUAGAUUUCCGAAUGGGGCAACCCAAUGUAUAGAGAUAUACAUUACCUAUAUAGGAGCGAACGAGGGGAAUUGAAACAUCUUAGUACCCUCAGGAAAAGAAAUCAAUAGAGAUUGCGUCAGUAGCGGCGAGCGAAAGCGCAAGAGGGCAAACCCAGUGCUUGCACUGGGGGUUGUAGGACUGCAAUGUGCAAGAGGUGAGUUUAGCAGAACAUUCUGGAAAGUAUAGCCAUAGAGGGUGAUAGUCCCGUAUGCGAAAAACAAACCUUAGCUAGCAGUAUCCUGAGUAGGGCGGGACACGAGAAAUCCUGUCUGAAGCUGGGUCGACCACGAUCCAACCCUAAAUACUAAUACCAGAUCGAUAGUGCACAAGUACCGUGAGGGAAAGGUGAAAAGAACUGAGGUGAUCAGAGUGAAAUAGAACCUGAAACCAUUUGCUUACAAUCAUUCAGAGCCCUAUGUAGCAAUACAGGGUGAUGGACUGCCUUUUGCAUAAUGAGCCUGCGAGUUGUGGUGUCUGGCAAGGUUAAGCAAACGCGAAGCCGUAGCGAAAGCGAGUCUGAAUAGGGCGCUUAGUCAGAUGCUGCAGACCCGAAACGAAGUGAUCUAUCCAUGAGCAAGUUGAAGCUAGUGUAAGAACUAGUGGAGGACUGAACCCAUAGGCGUUGAAAAGCCCCGGGAUGACUUGUGGAUAGGGGUGAAAGGCCAAUCAAACUUCGUGAUAGCUGGUUCUCUCCGAAAUAUAUUUAGGUAUAGCGUUGUGUCGUAAUAUAAGGGGGUAGAGCACUGAAUGGGCUAGGGCAUACACCAAUGUACCAAACCCUAUCAAACUCCGAAUACCUUAUAUGUAAUCACAGCAGUCAGGCGGCGAGUGAUAAAAUCCGUCGUCAAGAGGGAAACAACCCAGACUACCAGCUAAGGUCCCUAAAUCUUACUUAAGUGGAAAACGAUGUGAAGUUACUUAAACAACCAGGAGGUUGGCUUAGAAGCAGCCAUCCUUUAAAGAAAGCGUAAUAGCUCACUGGUCUAGUGAUUUUGCGCGGAAAAUAUAACGGGGCUAAAGUAAGUACCGAAGCUGUAGACUUGCGCACAACUUAGAUUAUUUAAGUUUAGAAUAUGAGAAACUAAGUUAUAUGUUUAGUUAUAUUUUUACUGAUUUUUAUAGAGUAAAGAUAGAAAUAAAACUUAGUAAAAUCAGUAAAAAUAUUCUUAGACUAAAGUUAAGUAGUUUAAGUUGUGUGCAAGUGGUAGGAGAGCGUUCUAUUUGCGUCGAAGGUAUACCGGUAAGGAGUGCUGGAGCGAAUAGAAGUGAGCAUGCAGGCAUGAGUAGCGAUAAUUAAUGUGAGAAUCAUUAACGCCGUAAACCCAAGGUUUCCUACGCGAUGCUCGUCAUCGUAGGGUUAGUCGGGUCCUAAGUCGAGUCCGAAAGGGGUAGACGAUGGCAAAUUGGUUAAUAUUCCAAUACCAACAUUAGUGUGCGAUGGAAGGACGCUUAGGGCUAAGGGGGCUAGCGGAUGGAAGUGCUAGUCUAAGGUCGUAGGAGGU